Molecule: long non-coding RNA, 201 nt
Filed under: Gopherus evgoodei (Goodes thornscrub tortoise)
Lineage: Eukaryota; Metazoa; Chordata; Testudines; Testudinidae
Description: lncRNA (ENSGEVG00005009055.1)
Source: RNAcentral
UUUCACUAGAUGAGGAGAACCACAGCAAGGAACUGACCUAUUCAGCUGAAGAUGGGAAGGACAUCCUUUCUACCUUAGGAGGAAGCUUUGACUAUAAAGAGAAUUCUGUAGGUGCCAUAGAUGAUUUAUUAGACCUGAAACCUGAAGAAAGUGGUAUGUGAAAUUCAUGCAUGUCUAUUUUAUCAGUUUUCCAAAAGCAAA